CGCGGGAGACAUCCUCGGACUUGUCCGGGGAGGCCGAAGGAGCAACCGCCUCGGAAACUCUCAGGUGAACAGGACCGCGCG
RNAcentral lists this non-coding RNA (81 nucleotides) under marine eukaryotic metagenome. Its description in RNAcentral is "Glycine riboswitch". It matches the Rfam family "Glycine riboswitch aptamer", at positions 9 to 86 of the family's 94-position model. Rfam says of the family: This family represents the bacterial glycine riboswitch. Glycine riboswitches usually consist of two metabolite-binding aptamers domains with similar structures in tandem. The aptamers cooperatively bind glycine to regulate the expression of downstream genes. The record is from RNAcentral.